Molecule: long non-coding RNA, 284 nt
Filed under: Sorghum bicolor (sorghum)
Lineage: Eukaryota; Viridiplantae; Streptophyta; Magnoliopsida; Poales; Poaceae
Description: long non-coding RNA (SBIC_LNC009791)
Source: RNAcentral
CCCAUUUAUUGCAGUUGAAACCUGCAGAGAGCACUUGGUACUUGCUUUGCUUUGUUAAGAACACAUGUGAACCAUGACCUGGUUAUGAACUUAUGAUGUUGUUGUAGACUUGUAAUUAGCUCGUCAUGAUGUUGUUGUAGACUUGUAAUUAGCUCUUCAUCUACAUUGGUUUGUGAAAACAGAAAUGAUUUGAUUUGUUCCCGUUAGUUUCUUCACUUAGUAAUGCAUUUAUGAUUUUUUUGACACACUAUUUUACUAUUUCAUGUUUUGUUUGAUUCUUCAAA